GACGUAGGGGGCCAGCGUUGCUCGGAAUUACUGGGCGUAAAGGGUUCGUAGGCGGUGUGUCGCGUCGGCCGUGAAAACCUGCAGCUUAACUGUGGGCUUGCGGUCGAUACGGGCAUCACUGGAGUUCGGCAGGGGAGACUGGAAUUCCUGGUGUAGCGGUGAAAUGCGCAGAUAUCAGGAGGAACACCGGUGGCGAAGGCGGGUCUCUGGGCCGAUACUGACGCUGAGGAGCGAAAGCGUGGGGAGCGAACAGG
This 254-nucleotide ribosomal RNA is filed under the name uncultured bacterium. RNAcentral describes it as "partial 16S ribosomal RNA". It matches the Rfam family "Bacterial small subunit ribosomal RNA", at positions 524 to 776 of the family's 1533-position model. The record is from RNAcentral.